This 632-nucleotide ribosomal RNA is filed under the name uncultured Acidobacteriaceae bacterium. RNAcentral's name for it is "bacterial SSU rRNA". It matches the Rfam family "Bacterial small subunit ribosomal RNA", at positions 36 to 700 of the family's 1533-position model. Lineage: Bacteria; Pseudomonadati; Acidobacteriota; Terriglobia; Terriglobales; Acidobacteriaceae. The record is from RNAcentral.
CUGGCGGCGCGCUUACACAUGCAAGUCGAACGAGAACGGACCUUCGGGUCCGGGAAAGUGGCGGACGGGUGAGUAACACGUGGGUUACCUGCCCUUGAGUGGGGAAUAACUCCGGGAAACUGGAGCUAAUACCGCAUACGACCCUUCGGGGUGAAAGGCUUCGGUCGCUCAAGGAUGGGCCCGCGGUCGAUUAGCUAGUUGGUAGGGUAAAGGCCUACCAAGGCACCGAUCGAUAGCCGGCCUGAGAGGGCACACGGCCACACUGGCACUGAGACACGGGCCAGACUCCUACGGGAGGCAGCAGUGGGGAAUCUUGGACAAUGGGGGAAACCCUGAUCCAGCGACGCCGCGUGACCGAUGAAGGCCUUCGGGUCGUAAAGGUCUUUCGACGGGGACAAUAAUGAUGGUACCCGUAUAAGAAGGAGCGGCUAACUACGUGCCAGCAGCCGCGGUAAUACGUAGGCUCCAAGCGUUGUUCGGAAUUACUGGGCGUAAAGCGAGUGUAGGCGGUCCGUCAAGUUGGUUGUGAAAUCUCCUGGCUCAACUGGGAGGGUGCGACCAAAACUGACGGACUGGAGUCCGGGAGAGGAGAGUGGAAUUCCUGGUGUAGCGGUGAAAUGCGUAGAUAUCAG